CCUACGGGAGGCAGCAGGCGCGCAAAUUACCCAAUCCCGACACGGGGAGGUAGUGACAAUAAAUACUGAUACAGGGCUCUUUUGGGUCUUGUAAUUGGAAUGAGUACAAUUUAAAUCCCUUAACGAGGAACAAUUGGAGGGCAAGUCUGGUGCCAGCAGCCGCGGUAAU
This 169-nucleotide ribosomal RNA is filed under the name uncultured bacterium. RNAcentral describes it as "partial 16S ribosomal RNA". It matches the Rfam family "Eukaryotic small subunit ribosomal RNA", at positions 415 to 583 of the family's 1831-position model. The record is from RNAcentral.